GAUGAACGCUGGCGGCGUGCCUAAUACAUGCAAGUCGAGCGAACAGACGAGGAGCUUGCUCCUCUGACGUUAGCGGCGGACGGGUGAGUAACACGUGGAUAACCUACCUAUAAGACUGGGAUAACUUCGGGAAACCGGAGAUAAUACCGGAUAAUAUAUUGAACCGCAUGGUUCAAUAGUGAAAGACGGUUUUGCUGUCACUUAUAGAUGGAUCCGCGCCGCAUUAGCUAGUUGGUAAGGUAACGGCUUACCAAGGGAACGAUGCGUAGCCGACCUGAGAGGGUGAUCGGCCACACGGGAACUGAGACACGGUCCAGACUCCUACGGGAGGCAGCAGUAGGGAAUCUUCCGCAAUGGGCGAAAGCCUGACGGAGCAACGCCGCGUGAGUGAUGAAGGUCUUCGGAUCGUAAAACUCUGUUAUUAGGGAAGAACAAAUGUGUAAGUAACUAUGCACGUCUUGACGGUACCUAAUCAGAAAGCCACGGCUAACUACGUG
This 497-nucleotide ribosomal RNA is filed under the name uncultured bacterium. Its description in RNAcentral is "partial 16S ribosomal RNA". It matches the Rfam family "Bacterial small subunit ribosomal RNA", at positions 28 to 507 of the family's 1533-position model. The record is from RNAcentral.